This 488-nucleotide ribosomal RNA is filed under the name uncultured bacterium. RNAcentral's name for it is "bacterial SSU rRNA". It matches the Rfam family "Bacterial small subunit ribosomal RNA", at positions 28 to 514 of the family's 1533-position model. The record is from RNAcentral.
GAUGAACGCUAGCGGGAGGCCUAACACAUGCAAGUCGAACGGGAUUGGGAGCUUGCUCCCAUGAGAGUGGCGCACGGGUGAGUAACGCGUAUGCAACCUACCUUUAACAGAGGGAUAGCCCAUAGAAAUGUGGAUUAAUACCUCAUAGUUCUGAGAGACCGCAUGGUUUUACAGAUAAAGCUCCGGCGGUUAAAGAUGGGCAUGCGUGACAUUAGUUAGUUGGUGAGGUAACGGCUCACCAAGACUACGAUGUCUAGGGGUUCUGAGAGGAUGAUCCCCCACACUGGUACUGAGACACGGACCAGACUCCUACGGGAGGCAGCAGUGAGGAAUAUUGGUCAAUGGGCGCAAGCCUGAACCAGCCAUCCCGCGUGAAGGAUGAAGGCCCUAUGGGUCAUAAACUUCUUUUAUACACCAAGAAAAAGCAGGACGUGUCCUGCCCCCGACGGUAGUGUAUGAAUAAGCAUCGGCUAACUCCGUGCCAGCAG